Molecule: ribosomal RNA, 229 nt
Filed under: uncultured bacterium
Lineage: Bacteria
Description: partial 16S ribosomal RNA
Rfam family: Bacterial small subunit ribosomal RNA
Source: RNAcentral
UCCGCAGGCGGGCUAGUAAGUCAGGGGUGAAAGUUUGCGGCUUAACCGUAAAAUUGCCUUUGAUACUGCUGGUCUUGAGUUGCGGUGAAGUGGCCGGAAUAUGUGGUGUAGCGGUGAAAUGCAUAGAUAUCACAUAGAACACCGAUUGCGAAGGCAGGUCACUAACCGCCGACUGACGCUGAUGGACGAAAGCGUGGGGAGCGAACAGGAUUAGAUACCCUGGUAGUCC